This 497-nucleotide ribosomal RNA is filed under the name uncultured bacterium. Its description in RNAcentral is "partial 16S ribosomal RNA". It matches the Rfam family "Bacterial small subunit ribosomal RNA", at positions 28 to 507 of the family's 1533-position model. The record is from RNAcentral.
GACGAACGCUGGCGGCGUGCCUAAUACAUGCAAGUUGAGCGCUGAAGGUUGGUACUUGUACCUACUGGAUGAGCAGCGAACGGGUGAGUAACGCGUGGGGAAUCUGCCUUUGAGCGGGGGACAACAUUUGGAAACGAAUGCUAAUACCGCAUAAAAACUUUAAACACAAGUUUUAAGAUUGAAAGAUGCAAUUGCAUCACUCAAAGAUGAUCCCGCGUUGUAUUAGCUAGUUGGUGAGGUAAAGGCUCACCAAGGCGAUGAUACAUAGCCGACCGGAGAGGGUGAUCGGCCACAUUUGGAAUGAGGAACGGCCCAAACUCCUACGGGAGGCAGCAGUAGGGGAUCUUCGGCAAUGGACGAAAGUCUGACCGAGCAACGCCGCGGUAGUGAAGAAGGGUUUCGGAUCGGAAAAAUCUGGUGGUAGGGAAGAACGUUGGGGGGAGGGGAAAGCUCAUCAAGUGACGGUAACUACCCAGAAAGGGACGGCUAACUACGUG